GACGAACGCUGGCGGCGUGCUUAACACAUGCAAGUCGAACGGAAAGGCCCUGCUUGCCGGGUGCUCGAGUGGCGAACGGGUGAGUAACACGUGGGUGAUCUGCCCCUUACUUUGGGAUAAGCCUGGGAAACUGGGUCUAAUACUGGAUAGGACCAUGCUGUAGGUGGUGUGGUGGAAAGAUUAGUUUCGGUAAGGGAUGAGCUCGCGGCCUAUCAGCUUGUUGGUGGGGUAAUGGCCUACCAAGGCGUCGACGGGUAGCCGGCCUGAGGGGGUGGACGGCCACAUUGGGACUGAGAAACGGCCCAGACUCCUACGGGAGGCAGCAGUGGGGAAAAUUGCACAAUGGGCGCAAGCCUGAUGCAGCGACGCCGCGUGGGGGAUGACGGCCUUCGGGUUGUAAACUCCUUUCAGCCAUGACGAAGCCCUUGUGGUGACGGUAGUGGUAGAAGAAGCACCGGCUAACUACGUG
Molecule: ribosomal RNA, 469 nt
Filed under: uncultured bacterium
Lineage: Bacteria
Description: partial 16S ribosomal RNA
Rfam family: Bacterial small subunit ribosomal RNA
Source: RNAcentral